AACGAACGCUGGCGGCAUGCCUAACACAUGCAAGUCGAACGAGACCUUCGGGUCUAGUGGCGCACGGGUGCGUAACGCGUGGGAACCUGCCCUUAGGUUCGGAAUAACUCCCCGAAAGGGGUGCUAAUACCGGAUAAUGUCUUCGGACCAAAGAUUUAUCGCCUUUGGAUGGGCCCGCGUUGGAUUAGCUAGUUGGUAGGGUAAAAGCCUACCAAGGCGACGAUCCAUAGCUGGUCUGAGAGGAUGAUCAGCCACACUGGGACUGAGACACGGCCCAGACUCCUACGGGAGGCAGCAGUGGGGAAUAUUGGACAAUGGGCGAAAGCCUGAUUCAGCAAUGCCGCGUGAGUGACGAAGGCCUUAGGGUUGUAAAGCUCUUUUACCCGGGAUGAUAAUGACAGUACCGGGAGAAUAAGCUCCGGCUAACUCCGUG
This 433-nucleotide ribosomal RNA is filed under the name uncultured bacterium. RNAcentral describes it as "partial 16S ribosomal RNA". It matches the Rfam family "Bacterial small subunit ribosomal RNA", at positions 29 to 507 of the family's 1533-position model. The record is from RNAcentral.